This 71-nucleotide transfer RNA is filed under the name Streptococcaceae bacterium. RNAcentral describes it as "tRNA-Cys". It matches the Rfam family "tRNA". Rfam says of the family: Transfer RNA (tRNA) molecules are approximately 80 nucleotides in length. RNAcentral also lists the same sequence under 1 other name. The record is from RNAcentral. Lineage: Bacteria; Bacillati; Bacillota; Bacilli; Lactobacillales; Streptococcaceae.
GGCGCUAUAGUGAAGUGGUAACACAUGGCUCUGCAAAAGCCUAAUCACCGGUUCAAAUCCGGUUAGCGCCU